ACGGGAGGCAGCAGUGAGGAAUAUUGGUCAAUGGACGAGAGUCUGAACCAGCCAAGUAGCGUGCAGGAUGACGGCCCUCCGGGUUGUAAACUGCUUUUAGUUGGGAAUAAAAGAGGGGACGUGUCCCCUAUUGUAUGUACCAUCAGAAAAAGGACCGGCUAAUUCCGUGCCAGCAGCCGCGGUAAUACGGAAGGUCCGGGCGUUAUCCGGAUUUAUUGGGUUUAAAGGGUGCGCAGGCGGAGAUGCAAGCCAGCCGUAAAAUCGUGGGGCUCAACCCCAUUCAGCGGUUGGAACUUCAUCCCUUGAUUGCGGCAGAGGGAGGUGGAACUCGUGGUGUAGCGGUGAAAUGCAUAGAUAUCACGAAGAACUCCGAUUGCGAAGGCAGCCUCCUGGACCGUAAAUGACGCUCAUGCACGAAGGCGCGGGUAUCAAACAGGAUUAGAUACCCUGGUA
RNAcentral lists this ribosomal RNA (453 nucleotides) under uncultured Alloprevotella sp. Its description in RNAcentral is "partial 16S ribosomal RNA". It matches the Rfam family "Bacterial small subunit ribosomal RNA", at positions 341 to 792 of the family's 1533-position model. Lineage: Bacteria; Pseudomonadati; Bacteroidota; Bacteroidia; Bacteroidales; Prevotellaceae. The record is from RNAcentral.